This 435-nucleotide ribosomal RNA is filed under the name uncultured bacterium. RNAcentral's name for it is "bacterial SSU rRNA". It matches the Rfam family "Bacterial small subunit ribosomal RNA", at positions 29 to 506 of the family's 1533-position model. The record is from RNAcentral.
ACGAACGCUGGCGGUGUGCUUCACACAUGCAAGUCGAACGGAGUAGCAAUACUUAGUGGCGGACGGGUGAGUAACGCGUGGGAAUCUGCCAUCGGGUGGGGGAUAACUAGUCGAAAGAUUAGCUAAUACCGCAUAUGCCGUGAGGUUAAAGGAGUAAUCCGCCUGAUGAUGAGCCUGCGUCCGAUUAGCUAGUUGGUGGGGUAAAGGCCUACCAAGGCUACGAUCGGUAGCUGGUCUGAGAGGAUGAUCAGCCACAAUGGGACUGAGACACGGCCCAUACUCCUACGGGAGGCAGCAGUGGGGAAUUUUACGCAAUGGGGGAAACCCUGACGUAGCGACACCGCGUGAGCGAAGAAGCCCUUUGGGGUGUAAAGCUCUGUCGGCUGGAACGAAAAAAAUGACGGUACCAGCAAAGGAAGCAUCGGCUAACUACGU